AUACGGAGGGUGCAAGCGUUAAUCGGAAUUACUGGGCGUAAAGCGUACGUAGGCGGUUCGUUAAGUUAGAUGGGAAAGCCCCGGGCUUAGCCUGGGAACUGCAUUUAAAACUGGCGAACUAGAGUUGAGUAGAGGGGAGUGGAAUUUCAGGUGUAGCGGUGAAAUGCGUAGAGAUCUGAAGGAACACCAGUGGCGAAGGCGACUCCCUGGACUCGAACUGACGCUGAGGUACGAAAGCGUGGGUAGCAAACGGGAUUAGAAACCCAAGUAGUCC
Molecule: ribosomal RNA, 274 nt
Filed under: uncultured bacterium
Lineage: Bacteria
Description: partial 16S ribosomal RNA
Rfam family: Bacterial small subunit ribosomal RNA
Source: RNAcentral